RNAcentral lists this transfer RNA (71 nucleotides) under Candidatus Woesearchaeota archaeon. RNAcentral describes it as "tRNA-Cys". It matches the Rfam family "tRNA". From Rfam's summary of the family: Transfer RNA (tRNA) molecules are approximately 80 nucleotides in length. Their secondary structure includes four short double-helical elements and three loops (D, anti-codon, and T loops). Lineage: Archaea; Nanobdellati; Candidatus Woesearchaeota. RNAcentral also lists the same sequence under 1 other name. The record is from RNAcentral.
GCGGGGAUGGCAGAGCGGCUAUGCGGCGGGCUGCAGACCCGCAGAGACGGGUUCGACUCCCGUUCCCCGCU